Molecule: ribosomal RNA, 253 nt
Filed under: uncultured bacterium
Lineage: Bacteria
Description: partial 16S ribosomal RNA
Rfam family: Bacterial small subunit ribosomal RNA
Source: RNAcentral
UACGUAGGGUGCAAGCGUUGUCCGGAAUUAUUGGGCGUAAAGAGCUCGUAGGCGGUUUGUCGCGUCUGCUGUGAAAACUCGGGGCUUAACUCCGGGCCUGCAGUGGGUACGGGCAGACUAGAGUGCGGUAGGGGAGACUGGAAUUCCUGGUGUAGCGGUGAAAUGCGCAGAUAUCAGGAGGAACACCGGUGGCGAAGGCGGGUCUCUGGGCAAUAACUGACGCUGAGGAGCGAAAGCGUGGGGAGCGAACGGG